AGACUUUCUGUGCUAGACAAUUGCUUCCUGAUUGGACUAUGGCUCACCAUCAUGCCUGGGGCCCUGUCUUGAAUCCUAGCCAGUUGGGCUAGGGUCUUGUUUACCUCCUGGGCAUUCUCCCAUUGUGGGCUGUGCCAUACAUCCCCCCAGGCAAUGAUUUAUGAUUUGCUUCAAUUGGCAUAGUCUAAGAUGAUCCUUGCUCUUAGAAGAGUAUCUGGGACUCCAGCGGCUGUGACCAGACAUGCAG
Molecule: long non-coding RNA, 247 nt
Filed under: Homo sapiens (human)
Lineage: Eukaryota; Metazoa; Chordata; Mammalia; Primates; Hominidae
Description: HSALNT0201331
Source: RNAcentral